CCCUGCACUACUGAUUGGUGACUGUAAUAGGCAGGCCGCACCAAGAAUAGCGACAUCAUGCAGCGGAAUAUGGCUGUGAAUAAAGCUCUUGGGAAUGGAACACAACUGCUGCCCCUGCAGAUCCAGAAAUGCAUGAUUGGAAGAGGAACUAGGACAAAACGUUCUGUGGAUUAUGAACAAGAA
Long non-coding RNA from Rana temporaria (common frog), 183 nucleotides. RefSeq lists it as uncharacterized. The record is from RefSeq and is a predicted model, not a curated record. The transcript is spliced from 3 exons. Lineage: Eukaryota; Metazoa; Chordata; Amphibia; Anura; Ranidae.